RNAcentral lists this ribosomal RNA (243 nucleotides) under Triticum aestivum (bread wheat). RNAcentral describes it as "partial small subunit ribosomal RNA". The record is from RNAcentral. Lineage: Eukaryota; Viridiplantae; Streptophyta; Magnoliopsida; Poales; Poaceae.
AUGAAGUCAGUUAUAAUAGUGAUUUCUUUUCCUUCUGAAAGAAAUUGUUUGUCUGCUUUUGGUUUCAAUUUUAAGGCCAGCUCGGUACAAUCUGCAACUACUUAUAGACUACUUCAUCUGGAUGGGUUUGCAACUCUUUGUACAGUUUGCUUCAAUACUUCUGUUACCAUUCUACUGUCUGCUGCUAUUUUUCCAUUUGUUCAGUUGCUACCUCUACCCACCAAGUUGAUUUUCUGCAGAUAG